ACCGUCCUUGUCUUGGGGUGAGAGAACUACUCAAUGAGCGCUUGGUUAGAGUAGUCCUGCGGACACCAGAACAACGCAUUAGCACCACCUGAACUCUUGUUCAGGUUCUGGUGCAAUUUUUAGAAAC
Small nuclear RNA from Betta splendens (Siamese fighting fish), 127 nucleotides. Ensembl annotates it as U4atac minor spliceosomal RNA. Lineage: Eukaryota; Metazoa; Chordata; Actinopteri; Anabantiformes; Osphronemidae. The record is from Ensembl.